RNAcentral lists this ribosomal RNA (465 nucleotides) under uncultured Gammaproteobacteria bacterium. Its description in RNAcentral is "bacterial SSU rRNA". It matches the Rfam family "Bacterial small subunit ribosomal RNA", at positions 338 to 795 of the family's 1533-position model. Lineage: Bacteria; Pseudomonadati; Pseudomonadota; Gammaproteobacteria. The record is from RNAcentral.
CCUACGGGCGGCUGCAGUGGGGAAUAUUGCACAAUGGGGGAAACCCUGAUGCAGCCAUGCCGCGUGUGUGAAGAAGGCCUUCGGGUUGUAAAGCACUUUCAGUCAGGAGGAAGGGCAAUGAGUUAAUACCUCAUUGCAUUGACGUUACUGACAGAAGAAGCACCGGCUAACUCCGUGCCAGCAGCCGCGGUAAUACGGAGGGUGCGAGCGUUAAUCGGAAUUACUGGGCGUAAAGCGUGCGCAGGCGGUUUGUUAAGCGAGAUGUGAAAGCCCCGGGCUCAACCUGGGAUGGUCAUUUCGAACUGGCAAGCUAGAGUCUCGUAGAGGGGGGUAGAAUUCCAGGUGUAGCGGUGAAAUGCGUAGAGAUCUGGAGGAAUACCGGUGGCGAAGGCGGCCCCCUGGACGAAGACUGACGCUCAGGCACGAAAGCGUGGGGAGCAAACAGGAUUAGAUACCCCUGUAGUC